CUAGACUCCUACGGGAGGCAGCAGUGGGGGAUAUUGGACAAUGGGGGAAACCCUGAUCCAGCGACGCCGCGUGAGUGAAGAAGUAUUUCGGUAUGUAAAGCUCUGUCAGCAGGGAAGAAAGAAAUGACGGUACCUGACCAAGAAGCCCCGGCUAACUACGUGCCAGCAGCCGCGGUAAUACGUAGGGGGCAAGCGUUAUCCGGAAUUACUGGGUGUAAAGGGAGCGUAGACGGUGAUGCAAGUCUGGAGUGAAAGCCCGUGGCUCAACCACGGGACUGCUUUGGAAACUGUGUUGCUGGAGUGCAGGAGGGGUAAGCGGAAUUCCUAGUGUAGCGGUGAAAUGCGUAGAUAUUAGGAGGAACACCGGUGGCGAAGGCGGCUUACUGGACUGUAACUGACGUUGAGGCUCGAAGGCGUGGGGAGCAAACAGGAUUAGAUACCCGAGUAU
Molecule: ribosomal RNA, 448 nt
Filed under: uncultured bacterium
Lineage: Bacteria
Description: bacterial SSU rRNA
Rfam family: Bacterial small subunit ribosomal RNA
Source: RNAcentral